Bos indicus x Bos taurus (hybrid cattle) is the source of this 288-nucleotide long non-coding RNA. The record is from Ensembl. Lineage: Eukaryota; Metazoa; Chordata; Mammalia; Artiodactyla; Bovidae.
GAAAGAUCAACAAGACGAGCAAGAGAAAACAGCAAGGAGUCUCUGGGGAAUCCAACUCAUGGCUGAGGUGAUGAAAUGUAAAUUGAGUCUGGAAACAAGGUCUCCAAGAUGCCUCCCUUCCCGUCUACGCUUCCCCAUGCACCAGCCCACACCAGAACAUAGGCUACUUGCUGAAGGGCACAGAGGUGACACAGAGGACAGCCCCACCAUGUUCCAUUUGGGUUCCACUAGCUCUGACACCAGUUUCCAGGGUCUCAUCCCAGCCCCACCUCUUCCUAACUGUGUAAC